RNAcentral lists this unclassified non-coding RNA (261 nucleotides) under uncultured fungus. Its description in RNAcentral is "partial contains 5.8S ribosomal RNA, internal transcribed spacer 2, and large subunit ribosomal RNA". The stretch from base 1 to 52 matches the Rfam family "5.8S ribosomal RNA", at positions 103 to 154 of the family's 154-position model. Lineage: Eukaryota; Fungi. The record is from RNAcentral.
AACGCAUAUUGCGCCCUUUGGUAUUCCGAAGGGCAUGCCUGUUCGAGCGUCAUUAUCACCCCUCAAGCUCGGCUUGUUGUUGGAACGUGGUGCCCGCAGUGCGGGCCGCCCUUCCCAAAGAUAAUGACGGCGUCUGCGAGGAUUCCUGUACACUGAGCUUUCGGGCACGUACUAGGCUUACUCCUCCGGACCCCGGUCGCACGUAAAUCUUACACUUCUAAGGUUGACCUCGGAUCAGGUAGGGAUACCCGCUGAACUUAA